Molecule: long non-coding RNA, 2925 nt
Organism: Cephus cinctus (wheat stem sawfly)
Lineage: Eukaryota; Metazoa; Arthropoda; Insecta; Hymenoptera; Cephidae
Exons: 5
Source: RefSeq, a predicted model, not a curated record
AAAAGACGUUAGUCAAGCCACGAGACAAACGAAACAGCACGUAUCUAUACGUAUACACAUGUCUAUUGAAAUUUAAAUAUCCUCCGGAGUCUCGUUUUGAAUUGGUCCGGGUGACCAAGUGGUUAUGUCCUCUGCAAACUUACUCAUCAUAAGGACCCACCACUAUGAGACUCACUGGCUUAUCCAAUCUUAAUGCAAGCUCCGCUUGACGUGGGUUACUCGUCUCCAGGGUACAGACUCUAGGUGUGAGUUUCCCUUAUUACUGCAGCAAGUACUCAUCCUCGAGGAGAUACGCGUUGCUGAAUACUACAAACUCGGUAAAACUUCGGUUGAUAAGACAGACCUGUAACAAACUUAUAUGGUGCUGUAUAGUACAAGAGUAAAUCAGGUUGCAUGUCGAGAUAUUGCCAUUAGAGAGGCAAAUACCUACUCAAGGGCCACUAAUUUCCAUUCACGCUGUCGCCCAUACGUUCCAUUCCUACGGAUAUGUCUGCCGAUCCUACUCAUUAACGUCUAUCCACAGUCGUGGAACGUGCAGCUGGAUGCUGCAAUCUUCUAUGACGUGGAUGCAAGGUAAACUUGCAAUUACAAUAACACGCAAGUGAUUGAGAACCUCUGAAAAGUAUCGACAGAGUCGCGAAUACACAUAGCAGGGCCCGCAUAUCUAUGUUUCAGGAGGAUGGUUGUUUUUCCAUUCGAACUCCCUUUAAAGGUCGAUACGCAGGAAACGUACCGGCGACACAUAUAUGUAUAUGCACCACGUAAGGACGUGGACUAAGCCAUAUGACUCACCCUUGGAGUUCCUUUUUAGAAAUACACAACAUCAACUCAUUCUAAUAUCCAGCAGAUUCAGUUUGAAUCCGGUACUACCUUAUCAUGGCACCACCAGAACGAAGGUCGAGCAUCAAGGUUGGAUCGAUGCUGACUAGGUAAAAAAAAAAAAUAAAAGAGUACAGGAUCAACCGAAAUAAAACAGAAGAACCCGGAGACACGAGGAGUGAAAAGAGGGUGAGAUACUCGAACAAGUGUGUAUUAUGAGUCAUGUAAUCGAGUUGGGGUGUUUCCACCCUCCUUCUCUAUCGAUUUCCUACAUUUCUCUGUACUCACGCACCUAGUCUACUCCUGGAGCAACACUACGGGCUACGAGUGUCCAUUAAGUCUUCCGCAAAGGAAAUCUCGAGUACAAAUCAAAGCGGAUAAGAAGAAACAAAGGUUUACACUUUGCAGGGACUUAGGAAACUCGUCAAAGAAAACUAUGUAUACCUAACCGACCGGUUUUGUAGGAAAAAUCAGCAUAUAUAUACACUACUGUACAUACAAUAGGCAUGGAGCUUAAAGUUCACACAACGACGAGAAGGUUAGAGUCAUUUAGGAUAAGAAGAUGCUAAAGAUAAAAAUUGGAAUUUCAGGGACGCAAUCUGGUUUUUGAAAAGGCCCUGCCCUUGCCACGCCUUCUCAGCCACCUGGCAUUCUUGUCCAAGUCCCAUUCCUAUGAACGUAACGCACCAGGAGUCACCGUGCCCAGACGUACCCGUCGCUCACUACCAGUUCAUCCACUUUGCCAUGGGAAUGAGCUAAGCGUGAAUUCGAGGUGAAUCAGGUAAUCCUGUUAACAGCCAGUGCUGUCUCUAAAGGUGAAUAGGACGUCAGCGUGUGAAUCCUUCACGGAAUGUUGACCCAGGUCCGGGAUACCUCGGACGUUGUCUUUUACGUUAAGCAGCGGUAUAGUUCACAUAUGAUUAUCAGAGUCUACCCAGCACUGAAAAGACUUAAGCAAAACAAGCGGCAAGAUAAGUAAUGUGAAGGAAUGUAAUUUUUCAGUAAAAAGAAGAAAAACAACCUACAAAAGGAAUUCCUAUGCUCGCAUGGAAUAUUAUCAGCGUCAAACAAAUUUAUAUACUAAUUAGGAUCGGUCAUAUAUAUAUAUAUUUUUUCUUCUCUAAUCGCGCUGAUAAACUAACGAUAACGUCAGAGCAACGACACCGAUCCGACGUACGCGGAGUAUCGGCGAAGAAUUUCAAUGAAGUUUUCUUGGAAGAUUCCAUUGUGAGAAAGCACUUUCGCACGAUGCUCCGAUUAAGAGAAACAAAACUAUAGCAAUUUAUCGCUAUCUCAUUGUAUUGAAACUCUCCCGGUUAUCAAUGGGCUCCGGUAACCUUAAGCGACCCAGAGGAAUGAUUCAUCCGGUAUAAUUCGUUAAAGGCACCAAGUGACUCAUCCGGGAAAAGAUUUGUCAUCGGUCUAACGAAAAAGUAAUAUCACUCAGCUAAAAGUAAAUUCUUAAGGGAAAAACGAAGAAGCAGUAAACAAAGAACCAAGGACAAAAAUUAUCGGUCCUUGCUAUCGCAAGGUCCCAGAUAAAAUGUACCUAAACCAAUAUGAGAUCCUCGAGAGUUACUCUGAUUUCCUCUACAAGGUAUACAGCACUGCGUACAGCCUCGUCGUACACCUUGUCAAUUGUUUGUACAGCUGUCAAAUUUAUGUAACUUUAAAGCUCUUUUACAGAAAAACUCCAGCGUUACGUAACCUGAAGAUAGAUGGGAAUCAUUGCUGGUGCCAUCGCGAGCAAACGUAUGUGCGCCAGUGAGCGGUACCCAUAAUUAUUUAGCCGACUCGCGAGGACUCGGGUCAAUAAUUUGCAAACUCGUCUAUGUGCACGAGAGAGUUACGCAGACAGAAGCGUAACGCGAAUUACUGUGGGUAGCUGGGAAUUGUUCCUCCGCGCUUUCAUAAUAUUUACAGCCAGCUUUCCUUCAGUUUAGUCAGGGUCGGUGUGUUCUGGCCGCCUGUACGCGUAAUUCCCAGCGAGCAGCAUCUAUGGCAAUUCGCGAGGUCAUGGUAGAUUAAUGAAUUUGAGAAUAUGAAGAAACCAAAAAAAAAAAAAGAACAUACGAGACAAAGAUCAGAAGAAUUUUUCCAGCAUCC